RNAcentral lists this transfer RNA (72 nucleotides) under Marmota monax (woodchuck). Its description in RNAcentral is "tRNA.Ala". Lineage: Eukaryota; Metazoa; Chordata; Mammalia; Rodentia; Sciuridae. The record is from RNAcentral.
GGAAUAUAGCUCAGUGGUAGAGCGUAUACUUAGCAUGCACAAGGUCCUGGGUUCAAUGCCCAGCACUGACCU